RNAcentral lists this non-coding RNA (975 nucleotides) under Chionis minor (black-faced sheathbill). RNAcentral's name for it is "12S ribosomal RNA". It matches the Rfam family "Bacterial small subunit ribosomal RNA". Lineage: Eukaryota; Metazoa; Chordata; Aves; Charadriiformes; Chionidae. The record is from RNAcentral.
AAAAGACUUAGUCCUAACCUUACCGUUAAUUCUUACCUAACAUAUACAUGCAAGUAUCCGCGAUCCAGUGUAAAUGCCCUUAAUCUCCCGCUACGGAUAAAAGGAGCGGGCAUCAGGCACACCCACAGUUGUAGCCCAAGACGCCUUGCUUAGCCACACCCCCACGGGUAUUCAGCAGUAAUUAACAUUAAGCAAUAAGUGUAAACUUGACUUAGUUAAGGUAACUCAGGGUUGGUAAAUCUUGUGCCAGCCACCGCGGUCACACAAGAAACCCAAAUUAACGGCCACACGGCGUAAAGAGUGGUACCAUGAUAUCAUUACAACUAAGAUUAAAAUGCAAUUGAGCUGUCAUAAGCCCAUAAUGCCCUUAAGGCCUACACAGAACUGAUCUUAGAGCCCAUUGACUAAUUAAGCUCCACGAAAGCUAAGGCCCAAACUGGGAUUAGAUACCCCACUAUGCUUAGCCCUAAAUCUUGAUGUUUACCCUACCAAAACAUCCGCCUGGGAACUACGAGCACAAACGCUUAAAACUCUAAGGACUUGGCGGUGCCCCAAACCCACCUAGAGGAGCCUGUUCUGUAAUCGAUAACCCACGAUAUACCCGACCACCUCUCGCCAGGGCAGCCUACAUACCGCCGUCGCCAGCUCACCUUUUCUGAGAGUGCAAUAGUGAGCACAAUAGCUUCAAUCCGCUAGUAAGACAGGUCAAGGUAUAGCCAAUGGGGUGGAAGUAAUGGGCUACAUUUUCUAGUUAUAGAAAAUCUCUACGAAAGAGUGUGUGAAAUCACACCCGGAAGGCGGAUUUAGCAGUAAAAUGGGAUAAUAAUGCCCGUUUUAAGUUGGCCCUGGGGCACGUACAUACCGCCCGUCACCCUCCUCACAAGCUACCAAUCCCAUAUCAUUAAUGCACUAGCAAGCUGAAGAUGAGGUAAGUCGUAACAAGGUAAGUGUACCGGAAGGUGCACUUAGCACACC